This 468-nucleotide ribosomal RNA is filed under the name uncultured bacterium. Its description in RNAcentral is "partial 16S ribosomal RNA". It matches the Rfam family "Bacterial small subunit ribosomal RNA", at positions 28 to 507 of the family's 1533-position model. The record is from RNAcentral.
GACGAACGCUGGCGGCGUGCUUAACAUAUGCAAGUCGAACGGAAAGGCCCUGCUUUUGUGGGGUGCUCGAGUGGCGAACGGGUGAGUAACACGUGAGUAACCUGCCCUUGACUUUGGGAUAACUUCAGGAAACUGGGGCUAAUACCGGAUAGGAGCUCCUGCUGCAUGGUGGGGGUUGGAAAGUUUCGGCGGUUGGGGAUGGACUCGCGGCUUAUCAGCUUGUUGGUGGGGUAGUGGCUUACCAAGGCUUUGACGGGUAGCCGGCCUGAGAGGGUGACCGGCCACAUUGGGACUGAGAGACGGCCCAGACUGCUACGGGAGGCAGCAGUGGAGAAUAUUGCACAAUGGGCGGAAGCCUGGUGCAGCAACGCCGCGUGCGGGAUGACGGCCUUCGGGUUGUAAACCGCUUUCGCCUGUGACGAAGCGUGAGUGACGGUAAUGGGUAAAGAAGCACCGGCUAACUACGUG